RNAcentral lists this transfer RNA (72 nucleotides) under Ovis aries (sheep). It matches the Rfam family "tRNA". From Rfam's summary of the family: Transfer RNA (tRNA) molecules are approximately 80 nucleotides in length. Their secondary structure includes four short double-helical elements and three loops (D, anti-codon, and T loops). The record is from Rfam by way of RNAcentral. Lineage: Eukaryota; Metazoa; Chordata; Mammalia; Artiodactyla; Bovidae.
UCCCUGGUGGCUCAGAGGGUAAAGCAUCUGCCUGCAAUGCAGGAGACCUGGGUUCAAUACCUGGGUCGGGAA